This 1647-nucleotide ribosomal RNA is filed under the name Escherichia coli. Its description in RNAcentral is "partial 23S ribosomal RNA". It matches the Rfam family "Bacterial large subunit ribosomal RNA", at positions 1291 to 2915 of the family's 2925-position model. The record is from RNAcentral. Lineage: Bacteria; Pseudomonadati; Pseudomonadota; Gammaproteobacteria; Enterobacterales; Enterobacteriaceae.
CGAAUGCUGACAUAAGUAACGAUAAAGCGGGUGAAAAGCCCGCUCGCCGGAAGACCAAGGGUUCCUGUCCAACGUUAAUCGGGGCAGGGUGAGUCGACCCCUAAGGCGAGGCCGAAAGGCGUAGUCGAUGGGAAACAGGUUAAUAUUCCUGUACUUGGUGUUACUGCGAAGGGGGGACGGAGAAGGCUAUGUUGGCCGGGCGACGGUUGUCCCGGUUUAAGCGUGUAGGCUGGUUUUCCAGGCAAAUCCGGAAAAUCAAGGCUGAGGCGUGAUGACGAGGCACUACGGUGCUGAAGCAACAAAUGCCCUGCUUCCAGGAAAAGCCUCUAAGCAUCAGGUAACAUUAAAUCGUACCCCAAACCGACACAGGUGGUCAGGUAGAGAAUACCAAGGCGCUUGAGAGAACUCGGGUGAAGGAACUAGGCAAAAUGGUGCCGUAACUUCGGGAGAAGGCACGCUGAUAUGUAGGUGAAGUCCCUCGCGGAUGGAGCUGAAAUCAGUCGAAGAUACCAGCUGGCUGCAACUGUUUAUUAAAAACACAGCACUGUGCAAACACGAAAGUGGACGUAUACGGUGUGACGCCUGCCCGGUGCCGGAAGGUUAAUUGAUGGGGUUAGCGGUAACGCGAAGCUCUUGAUCGAAGCCCCGGUAAACGGCGGCCGUAACUAUAACGGUCCUAAGGUAGCGAAAUUCCUUGUCGGGUAAGUUCCGACCUGCACGAAUGGCGUAAUGAUGGCCAGGCUGUCUCCACCCGAGACUCAGUGAAAUUGAACUCGCUGUGAAGAUGCAGUGUACCCGCGGCAAGACGGAAAGACCCCGUGAACCUUUACUAUAGCUUGACACUGAACAUUGAGCCUUGAUGUGUAGGAUAGGUGGGAGGCUUUGAAGUGUGGACGCCAGUCUGCAUGGAGCCGACCUUGAAAUACCACCCUUUAAUGUUUGAUGUUCUAACGUUGACCCGUGAUCCGGGUUACGGACAGUGUCUGGUGGGUAGUUUGACUGGGGCGGUCUCCUCCUAAAGAGUAACGGAGGAGCACGAAGGUUGGCUAAUCCUGGUCGGACAUCAGGAGGUUAGUGCAAUGGCAUAAGCCAGCUUGACUGCGAGCGUGACGGCGCGAGCAGGUGCGAAAGCAGGUCAUAGUGAUCCGGUGGUUCUGAAUGGAAGGGCCAUCGCUCAACGGAUAAAAGGUACUCCGGGGAUAACAGGCUGAUACCGCCCAAGAGUUCAUAUCGACGGCGGUGUUUGGCACCUCGAUGUCGGCUCAUCACAUCCUGGGGCUGAAGUAGGUCCCAAGGGUAUGGCUGUUCGCCAUUUAAAGUGGUACGCGAGCUGGGUUUAGAACGUCGUGAGACAGUUCGGUCCCUAUCUGCCGUGGGCGCUGGAGAACUGAGGGGGGCUGCUCCUAGUACGAGAGGACCGGAGUGGACGCAUCACUGGUGUUCGGGUUGUCAUGCCAAUGGCACUGCCCGGUAGCUAAAUGCGGAAGAGAUAAGUGCUGAAAGCAUCUAAGCACGAAACUUGCCCCGAGAUGAGUUCUCCCUGACUCCUUGAGAGUCCUGAAGGAACGUUGAAGACGACGACGUUGAUAGGCCGGGUGUGUAAGCGCAGCGAUGCGUUGAGCUAACCGGUACUAAUGAACCGUGAGG